UACCAAGGCUUGACAUGCAUCUCUAAGCGCGUGAAAGCGCGUGACCCUUCGGGGAAUUUGCACAGGUGCUGCAUGGCCGUCGUCAGCUCGUGUCGUGAGAUGUUGGGUUAAGUCCCGCAACGAGCGCAACCCUUGUGACUAGUUGCCAGCGGGUAAUGCCGGGAACUCUAGUCAGACUGCCCAGAUCAACUGGGAGGAAGGUGGGGACGACGUCAGGUCAGUAUGGCCCUUACGUCUUGGGCUGCACACGUACUACAAUGCCCAGCACAAUGAGAACCGAGACCGCGAGGUGGAGGAAAUCUGCAAAACUGGGCUCAGUUCGGAUUGGAGGCUGCAACUCGCCUCCAUGAAGUUGGAAUCGCUAGUAAUGCCGUAUCAUCUACGACGGCGUGAAUACGUUCCCGGGUCUUGUACACACGC
This 420-nucleotide ribosomal RNA is filed under the name uncultured Verrucomicrobiales bacterium. RNAcentral's name for it is "bacterial SSU rRNA". It matches the Rfam family "Bacterial small subunit ribosomal RNA", at positions 972 to 1393 of the family's 1533-position model. Lineage: Bacteria; Pseudomonadati; Verrucomicrobiota; Verrucomicrobiia; Verrucomicrobiales. The record is from RNAcentral.